GACGAACGCUGGCGGCGUGCUUAACACAUGCAAGUCGAACGGAAAGGCCCUGCUUUUGUGGGGUGCUCGAGUGGCGAACGGGUGAGUAACACGUGAGUAACCUGCCCUUGACUUUGGGAUAACUUCAGGAAACUGGGGCUAAUACCGGAUAGGAGCUCCUGCUGCAUGGUGGGGGUUGGAAAGUUUCGGCGGUUGGGGAUGGACUCGCGGCUUAUCAGCUUGUUGGUGGGGUAGUGGCUUACCAAGGCUUUGACGGGUAGCCGGCCUGAGAGGGUGACCGGCCACAUUGGGACUGGGAUACGGCCCAGACUCCUACGGGAGGCAGCAGUGGGGAAUAUUGCACAAUGGGCGGAAGCCUGAUGCAGCAACGCCGCGUGCGGGAUGACGGCCUUCGGGUUGUAAACCGCUUUCGCCUGUGACGAGGCGUGAGUGACGGUAAUGGGUAAAGAAGCACCGGCUAACUACGUG
Molecule: ribosomal RNA, 468 nt
Filed under: uncultured bacterium
Lineage: Bacteria
Description: partial 16S ribosomal RNA
Rfam family: Bacterial small subunit ribosomal RNA
Source: RNAcentral